GACGAACGCUGGCGGCGUGCUUAACACAUGCAAGUCGAACGGAAAGGCCCUGCUUUUGUGGGGUGCUCGAGUGGCGAACGGGUGAGUAACACGUGAGUAACCUGCCCUUGACUUUGGGAUAACUUCAGGAAACUGGGGCUAAUAACGGAUAGGAGCUCCUGCUGCAUGUUGGGGGUUUGAAAGUUUCGGCGGUUGGGGAUGGACUCGCGGCUUAUCAGCUUGUUGGUGGGGUAGUGGCUUACCAAGGCUUUGACGGGUAGACGGCCUGAGAGGGUGACCGGCCACAUUGGGACUGAGAUACGGCCCAGACUCCUACGGGAGGCAGCAGUGGGGAAUAUUGCACAAUGGGCGGAAGCCUGAUGCAGCAACGCCGCGUGCGGGAUGACGGCCUUCGGGUUGUAAACCGCUUUCGCCUGUGACGAAGCGUGAGUGACGGUAAUGGGUAAAGAAGCACCGGCUAACUACGUG
This 468-nucleotide ribosomal RNA is filed under the name uncultured bacterium. RNAcentral describes it as "partial 16S ribosomal RNA". It matches the Rfam family "Bacterial small subunit ribosomal RNA", at positions 28 to 507 of the family's 1533-position model. The record is from RNAcentral.